CACGUAGGGGGCGAGCGUUGUCCGGAAUCAUUGGGCGUAAAGAGCUCGUAGGCGGCUCAGUAAGUCGGGUGUGAAACCCUCAGGCUCAACCUGGGGACGCCACUCGAUACUGCUGUGGCUAGAGUCCAGUAGGGGAGUGUGGAAUUCCAGGUGUAGCGGUGAAAUGCGUAGAUAUCUGGAGGAACACCGGUGGCGAAGGCGGCAUCCUGGACCAACACUGACGCUGAGUGAGCGAAAGCCAGGGGAGCAAACGGG
This 255-nucleotide ribosomal RNA is filed under the name uncultured bacterium. RNAcentral's name for it is "partial 16S ribosomal RNA". It matches the Rfam family "Bacterial small subunit ribosomal RNA", at positions 524 to 776 of the family's 1533-position model. The record is from RNAcentral.